GCAGAGAUCUCUCCUUCUAAAGCUUUGAAGUUGCGGUCCGAUAGCGCUCCAAAGGCGGUAUACACAUGCCCACAGAGAAACAGAAAAGAGAGAGAAUAAAAAAAAGAGAGAUAAAUGGAAGGAAACAGGAUAGUGGGUGUGGCGGGGGGUUUCUCGACGUGCAGCAGGAAAGCUCUAAAAUGGGCGGUGGAUAACCUGGUCCGCAACGGUGAUCACCUUAUUCUCGUUACCAUACGCCCCGAAGGGAACUAUGAGGAGGGAGAGAUGCAACUCUGGGAAGUCAGCGGUUCCCCUUUAAUCCCCCUACAUGAGUUUUCUGAUCCCGUGAUUAUGAAGAAGUAUGGAGUGAACCCUGAUCCAGAAACCCUGGACAUUGCGAACACUGCUGCCAACCAGAAACAGGUUGUUGUGGUUAUGAAGAUCUUCUGGGGUGAUCCUCGCGAGAAGAUAUGUGAAGCUAUCGAUAAGGUCCCUUUGAGCUGCCUUGUUAUAGGAAACAGAGGGCUUGGCAAAAUUAAGAGGGCUAUAAUGGGCAGCGUAAGCAACUAUGUGGUGAAUAACGGAACCUGCCCUGUUACAGUUGUGAAGCAGACCGACCAUUAAAGGUAGGUCUUUUACUCUGUUACUCCACGAGGAAUAAGGCAUAUAGGAUCUGUUUUGCUGAACGGAAUCCUAUCUUCCGUAGGAUCUACCCUACAAAUAAUUGUGUUGCUUGCAACUCUCUGUCAAAUUGGACAAGUUUCCUAGUAUGGAUAUUGAUGAAGUUAGCAUAAGUGAGCACUUACAAUGUAAUCCACUCGUUUUCGCAACGAGAUUAAUGGUUCUAGGUGUAAUCAUUCCUGCAGAUUCUAAUAUUGCUAAAAU
This 864-nucleotide unclassified non-coding RNA is filed under the name Hevea brasiliensis (rubber tree). The record is from RNAcentral. Lineage: Eukaryota; Viridiplantae; Streptophyta; Magnoliopsida; Malpighiales; Euphorbiaceae.